AUACGGAAGGUCCGGGCGUUAUCCGGAUUUAUUGGGUUUAAAGGGAGCGCAGGCGGCCUUUUAAGCGUGACGUGAAAUGUAGGCGCUCAACGUCUGAAUUGCGUCGCGAACUGUUAGGCUUGAGUAGACGGAAUGUCGGCGGAAUUCGUGGUGUAGCGGUGAAAUGCUUAGAUAUCACGAAGAACUCCGAUUGCGAAGGCAGCUGACAGCAGUUUUACUGACGCUCAUGCUCGAAAGUGCGGGUAUCGAACAGGAUUAGAUACCCGGGUAGUCCGCACGGUAAACGAUGGAUGCCCGCUGUUUGCCUUUUUGGUAAGCGGCCAAGCGAAAGCAUUAAGCAUCCCACCUGGGGAGUACGCCGGCAACGGUGAAACUCAAAUGAAUUGACGGGG
RNAcentral lists this ribosomal RNA (392 nucleotides) under uncultured bacterium. RNAcentral describes it as "partial 16S ribosomal RNA". It matches the Rfam family "Bacterial small subunit ribosomal RNA", at positions 523 to 918 of the family's 1533-position model. The record is from RNAcentral.